This 514-nucleotide ribosomal RNA is filed under the name uncultured Entrophosporaceae. Its description in RNAcentral is "SSU rRNA". It matches the Rfam family "Eukaryotic small subunit ribosomal RNA", at positions 569 to 1078 of the family's 1831-position model. The record is from RNAcentral. Lineage: Eukaryota; Fungi; Glomeromycota; Glomeromycetes; Entrophosporales; Entrophosporaceae.
AGCAGCCGCGGUAAUUCCAGCUCCAAUAGCGUAUAUUAAAGUUGUUGCAGUUAAAAAGCUCGUAGUUGAAUUUCGGGAUUGACGUGAUGGUCAUGCCUUAAGGGGUAUGAACUGUUACAGUUGAUUUCUCACCUUCUGGAGAAACUUGAUGUCCUUUAUUGGGUGUCUUGCGGAUCCAGGACCUUUACCUUGAAAAAUUAGGGUGUUUAAAGCAGGCAUUUUUGCUCGAAUACAUUAGCAUGGAAUAAUAGAAUAGGACGGCAUGGUUCUAUUUUGUUGGUUUCUAGGAUCACCGUAAUGAUUAAUAGGGAUAGUUGGGGGCAUUAGUAUUCAAUUGUCAGAGGUGAAAUUCUUGGAUUUAUUGAAGACUAACUACUGCGAAAGCAUUUGCCAAGGAUGUUUUCAUUAAUCAAGAACGAAAGUUAGGGGAUCGAAGACGAUCAGAUACCGUCGUAGUCUUAACCAUAAACUAUGCCGACUAGGAAUCAGACGAUGUUAAUUUUUAAUGUACUCG